RNAcentral lists this unclassified non-coding RNA (344 nucleotides) under soil metagenome. Its description in RNAcentral is "partial contains 5.8S ribosomal RNA, internal transcribed spacer 2, and large subunit ribosomal RNA". The stretch from base 1 to 120 matches the Rfam family "5.8S ribosomal RNA", at positions 35 to 154 of the family's 154-position model. The record is from RNAcentral.
GAUGAAGAACGUGGCGAAAUGCGAUACGUAAUGUGAAUUGCAGAAUUCAGUGAAUCAUCGAGUCUUUGAACGCACAUUGCGCCCCCUGGUAUUCCGGGGGGCAUGCCUGUCCGAGCGUCAUUGCUGCCCUCAAGCACGGCUUGUGUGUUGGGCCUCCGUCCUCCUCCCGGGGGACGGGCCCGAAAGGCAGCGGCGGCACCGCGUCCGGUCCUCGAGCGUAUGGGGCUUCGUCACCCGCUCUUGUAGGCCCGGCCGGCGCUUGCCGACACAUCAAUCUUUUUUCCAGGUUGACCUCGGAUCAGGUAGGGAUACCCGCUGAACUUAAGCAUACAAUAAGCGGAGGA